Molecule: microRNA precursor, 483 nt
Filed under: Caenorhabditis remanei
Lineage: Eukaryota; Metazoa; Nematoda; Chromadorea; Rhabditida; Rhabditidae
Description: mir-233
Rfam family: mir-233 microRNA precursor family (bases 230-307)
Source: RNAcentral
AUCGACAUUGUGCCAAAUCGCGAGCCACCGUUUCAUUUUUUUGGGGUAAACGGAGAUCUCCAAGUCAUGCUGAUAACUGAGCGGUAAGUGAUUUUUUCAUUCGAACAUUCUAGAUUUGGAUUCCUUAUCUCUCAUUUCUUGCCAAGGCGACUGUUACAAUUUCCCACCUUAUAUUGUGGCCUAGAAACCUGUACAGUUGGAGCAAUAAAUGAAAACUCCUGAAGCGUCUCUCUGUCCCGCUCAUCCUGUUGUUCCAAUAUUCCAACAGCCCAGUGAUUAUUGAGCAAUGCGCAUGUGCGGGACAGAUUGUAUGCUGCCAUUUGUGCCGCGGUCUCAAAACACGUUUUAUCAACUUUAGACAAGAUUUAAGAUCUCAUAAAUAUGAAUAUAAUUUCAGAAUGUACGAUGUCUUCAAGGAAAGAGUGCGCACCAAAGGAAAGAAACAAAUGUUCACCAUGAUGGAGAACAUGGCAAUGGCGCUCA